RNAcentral lists this ribosomal RNA (440 nucleotides) under uncultured bacterium. RNAcentral's name for it is "partial 16S ribosomal RNA". It matches the Rfam family "Bacterial small subunit ribosomal RNA", at positions 338 to 795 of the family's 1533-position model. The record is from RNAcentral.
CCUACGGGUGGCAGCAGUGGGGAAUAUUGCACAAUGGGCGAAACCCUGAUGCAGCCACGCCGCGUGUAGGAUGAAGGCCUUCGGUUUGUAAAGUCCUUUCAGCAGGGAAGAAAAUGACGGUAUCUGACCAUUAAGCCAUGGCCAACUCCGUGCCAGCAGCCGCGGUAAUACGGAGGGUGCAAGCGUUAUUCGGAAUGACUGGGCGUAAAGGGCGCGUAGGCGGGUUGGCAAGUCAGAUGUGAAAGCCUAGGGCUCAACCCGAGAACUGCAUUUGAUACUGUCAUUCUAGAGUAUCGGAGAGGUAGGCGGAAUUCCUGGUGUAGCGGUGAAAUGCGUAGAGAUCAGGAGGAAUACCGAUGGCGAAGGCGGCCUGCUAGACGAUGACUGACGUUGAGGCGCGAAAGCGUGGGGAGCAAACAGGAUUAGAUACCCGUGUAGUC